This 496-nucleotide ribosomal RNA is filed under the name uncultured bacterium. RNAcentral's name for it is "partial 16S ribosomal RNA". It matches the Rfam family "Bacterial small subunit ribosomal RNA", at positions 29 to 523 of the family's 1533-position model. The record is from RNAcentral.
AUUGAACGCUGGCGGCGUGCUUUACACAUGCAAGUCGAACGGUAGAGGGGGCAACCCCUUGAGAGUGGCGAACGGGUGAGUAAUGCAUCGGAACGUGCCCAGUCGUGGGGGAUAACGCAGCGAAAGCUGUGCUAAUACCGCAUACGAUCUCUGGAUGAAAGCGGGGGACCGAAAGGCCUCGCGCGAUUGGAGCGGCCGAUGUCAGAUUAGGUAGUUGGUGGGGUAAAGGCUCACCAAGCCAACGAUCUGUAGCUGGUCUGAGAGGACGACCAGCCAAACGGGGACUGAGACACGGCCCAGACUACUACGGGAGGCAGCAGUGGGGAAUUUUGGACAAUGGGCGCAAGCCUGAUCCAGCAAUGCCGCGUGCAGGAAGAAGGCCUUCGGGUUGUAAACUGCUUUUGUACGGAACGAAAAGGUCUGGGUUAAUACCCUGGGCACAUGACGGUACCGUAAGAAUAAGCACCGGCUAACUACGUGCCAGCAGCCGCCGUAA